RNAcentral lists this ribosomal RNA (460 nucleotides) under uncultured bacterium. RNAcentral describes it as "partial 16S ribosomal RNA". It matches the Rfam family "Bacterial small subunit ribosomal RNA", at positions 338 to 795 of the family's 1533-position model. The record is from RNAcentral.
CCUACGGGAGGCAGCAGUGAGGAAUAUUGGUCAAUGGACGAGAGUCUGAACCAGCCAAGUAGCGUGAAGGAUGACUGCCCUAUGGGUUGUAAACUUCUUUUAUAUGGGAAUAAAAUGUUCCACGUGUGGGAUUUUGUAUGUACCAUAUGAAUAAGGAUCGGCUAACUCCGUGCCAGCAGCCGCGGUAAUACGGAGGAUCCGAGCGUUAUCCGGAUUUAUUGGGUUUAAAGGGAGCGUAGGGGGGUUGGUAAGUCAGUUGUGAAAGUUUGCGGCUCAAACGUAAAAUUGCAGUUGAAACUGGCGGUCUUGAGUACAGGAGAGGUGGGCGGAAUGCGUGGUGUAGCGGUGAAAUGCUUAGAUAUCACGAAGAACUCCGAUUGCGAAGGCAGCUCACUGGACUGCAACUGACACUGAGGCUCGAAAGUGUGGGUAUCAAACAGGAUUAGAUACCCUAGUAGUC